Long non-coding RNA from Conger conger (European conger), 322 nucleotides. RefSeq lists it as uncharacterized. The transcript is spliced from 3 exons. The record is from RefSeq and is a predicted model, not a curated record. Lineage: Eukaryota; Metazoa; Chordata; Actinopteri; Anguilliformes; Congridae.
GUCGUCCUUUCGGCUACGAGGCUCACCCGGCUGGUUCUGAUCAGAAGCUGCUGAGCUGUGCGUUCUGUCAUCCCAAGACAACGAUGCGGGGCUGGAGGGGCGAGCCGCGUGCUGGAGGGAGCCUCCUGUCCGAGGGGACGCUGUCAGUGCUGAUGGAGGGCCGCGGCCCGCCUUGCAGGCAGCGCACAUCUGGAAACACUCGGGGUCAGCGGGCCCGGGCCAUGAAAGAUUCAAUCACCAAAGGGAUCUUGAUGCGGCCCCUAAUGAACAAAUGGGUAACUCUGACAGAGAACAGAAAAGCCUGGAGUGCAACACAAUUCAU